RNAcentral lists this ribosomal RNA (451 nucleotides) under uncultured bacterium. RNAcentral describes it as "partial 16S ribosomal RNA". It matches the Rfam family "Bacterial small subunit ribosomal RNA", at positions 354 to 796 of the family's 1533-position model. The record is from RNAcentral.
GUGGGGAAUAUUGGACAAUGGGGGGAACCCUGAUCCAGCCAUGCCGCGUGUGUGAAGAAGGCCUUUUGGUUGUAAAGCACUUUAAGCGAGGAGGAGGCUACCGAGAUUAAUACUCUUGGAUAGUGGACGUUACUCGCAGAAUAAGCACCGGCUAACUCUGUGCCAGCAGCCGCGGUAAUACAGAGGGUGCAAGCGUUAAUCGGAUUUACUGGGCGUACAGCGCGCGUAGGUGGCCAAUUAAGUCAAAUGUGAAAUCCCCGAGCUUAACUUGGGAAUUGCAUUCGAUACUGGUUGGCUAGAGUAUGGGAGAGGAUGGUAGAAUUCCAGGUGUAGCGGUGAAAUGCGUAGAGAUCUGGAGGAAUACCGAUGGCGAAGGCAGCCAUCUGGCCUAAUACUGACACUGAGGUGCGAAAGCAUGGGGAGCAAACAGGAUUAGAUACCCCUGUAGUCC